This 685-nucleotide ribosomal RNA is filed under the name Salmonella enterica subsp. enterica. RNAcentral's name for it is "bacterial LSU rRNA". It matches the Rfam family "Bacterial large subunit ribosomal RNA", at positions 1093 to 1693 of the family's 2925-position model. Lineage: Bacteria; Pseudomonadati; Pseudomonadota; Gammaproteobacteria; Enterobacterales; Enterobacteriaceae. The record is from RNAcentral.
CCAGGAUGUUGGCUUAGAAGCAGCCAUCAUUUAAAGAAAGCGUAAUAGCUCACUGGUCGAGUCGGCCUGCGCGGAAGAUGUAACGGGGCUAAACCAUGCACCGAAGCUGCGGCAGCGAACGUAUCACCCAAGACAACUUUGCGGAGUUGACGAUUGACGGAGCGAAGCGACGUCAAAGCGUUCAUUAAAGUCGAGUUGGCUUAGGGAUACGUUCGUUGGGUAGGGGAGCGUUCUGUAAGCCUGUGAAGGUGGCCUGUGAGGGUUGCUGGAGGUAUCAGAAGUGCGAAUGCUGACAUAAGUAACGAUAAAGCGGGUGAAAAGCCCGCUCGCCGGAAGACCAAGGGUUCCUGUCCAACGUUAAUCGGGGCAGGGUGAGUCGACCCCUAAGGCGAGGCCGAAAGGCGUAGUCGAUGGGAAACGGGUUAAUAUUCCCGUACUUGGUGUUACUGCGAAGGGGGGACGGAGAAGGCUAUGUUGGCCGGGCGACGGUUGUCCCGGUUUAAGCGUGUAGGUGUGUGUUCCAGGUAAAUCCGGUUCACUUUAACACUGAGGCGUGACGACGAGGCACUACGGUGCUGAAGCAACAAAUGCCCUGCUUCCAGGAAAAGCCUCUAAGCAUCAGGUAACAUCAAAUCGUACCCCAAACCGACACAGGUGGUCAGGUAGAGAAUACCAAGGCGCUUGA